GAUGAACGCUAGCGGGAGGCCUAACACAUGCAAGCCGAGCGGUAGAGAUUCUUCGGAAUCUUGAGAGCGGCGUACGGUGCGGAACACGUGUGCAACCUACCUUUAUCUGGAGGAUAGCCUUUCGAAGGAAGAUUAAUACUCCAUAAUAUAUUGAUUGGCAUCGAUUGAUAUUGAAAGCUCCGGCGGAUAGAGAUGGGCACGCGCAAGAUUAGCUAGUUGGUGAGGUAACGGCUCACCAAGGCGAUGAUCUUUAGGGGCCUGAGAGGGUGAUCCCCACACUGGUACGUGAGACACGGACCGAGACUCCUACGGAGGCGAGCAGUGAGGAA
This 329-nucleotide ribosomal RNA is filed under the name uncultured bacterium. Its description in RNAcentral is "bacterial SSU rRNA". It matches the Rfam family "Bacterial small subunit ribosomal RNA", at positions 28 to 361 of the family's 1533-position model. The record is from RNAcentral.